UACACUCCUGCGGGAGGCAGCAGUGGGGAAUAUUGGACAAUGGGCGCAAGCCUGAUCCAGCCAUGCCGCGUGAGUGAUGAAGACCCUAGGGUUGUAAAGCUCUUUCACCGGUGAAGAUAAUGACGGUAACCGGAGAAGAAGCCCCGGCUAACUUCGUGCCAGCAGCCGCGGUAAUACGAAGGGGGCUAGCGUUGUUCGGAUUUACUGGGCGUAAAGCGCACGUAGGCGGACUAUUAAGUCAGGGGUGAAAUCCCGGGGCUCAACCCCGGAACUGCCUUUGAUACUGGUAGUCUUGAGUUCGAGAGAGGUGAGUGGAAUUCCGAGUGUAGAGGUGAAAUUCGUAGAUAUUCGGAGGAACACCAGUGGCGAAGGCGGCUCACUGGCUCGAUACUGACGCUGAGGUGCGAAAGCGUGGGGAGCAAACAGGAUUAGAUACCCGGGUAGUCCCAUG
This 451-nucleotide ribosomal RNA is filed under the name uncultured organism. Its description in RNAcentral is "partial 16S ribosomal RNA". It matches the Rfam family "Bacterial small subunit ribosomal RNA", at positions 332 to 799 of the family's 1533-position model. The record is from RNAcentral.